Molecule: long non-coding RNA, 543 nt
Organism: Tyto alba (common barn owl)
Lineage: Eukaryota; Metazoa; Chordata; Aves; Strigiformes; Tytonidae
Exons: 2
Source: RefSeq, a predicted model, not a curated record
CCGGCACCGAGGCUCGCGGGCCGCCCGCGUCCCGGCGGAGGCAGGCUUGGGCGCGACGCGGGCAGGAGGAUACCCGGUAAACCCGGCGUGCCGGGCGGUGUAAUUUUGCGGCCUUAAAAUAACACCACCACCACACCCCCCGCCCCGCUGGAAACGUUUUUUGAGCUGGGACCACUUGUACACAUUUGCCUGCAGGAGCUCGAUCCUGCAUAUACCUCUCUGCAGCCUGUGUUGAUGGCUCUAUGGCUCAGGUUACAUACAUGCAGAGGAAAAGGAGUCCAGUCUCAUCCUUUUCUCCUGAGAAGACACGGCAGUGAUGUACGAGGACAGUUUGCAACAUACACUCCCUGAAUAAAUGUUGUCUGUCUCCUCAAAGGAAACGGCAAGAAGCCAGGUAGAAGCAUCCCGGAGAUCCAAAUUUGAUCUGCAUGCUGUCAGCUGGACCACUUCAUACACAAUGAGCUAUGCAGCAGUUAGCUUAUCUACUCUGUCAGAAAUCUGAAACUAUUUUAGCAAUUAAAGACCACCACAAAUGCUGUGCAA